CUGCAUCGCUCUGCCCUAAGGGGCAGCAACCUUUUGUCUCCCGCUGGAUGUGUUUCUCGGCCGCCGCGGCCUUCACACCUCCUCUCGGCUGAAUCCUGGCGGCCGCUGCCCAGCUCCCGGAACCCCUCACCCUGAAUUUUCCUCCGAAGUGGGCGAACCUCCUGGCCGCGGCCGCGAUUCCUGCUCGAACCAAAGAAAGGGACCUGCUCCGGCUACAGGAGAAGCUUCUCCGUCUUGGAGAUGCACGGCAAGGUGGAGGACUCCUCUGACAACCAUCUAGAGGACGAUAACCCCAAGAAGGAGGGCUGCACCCGAGACAUGCAGAAGAUCCCCAGGCUGGGGUUGAAUCGAAGCUGCAGCUCCUGGCCUGCCCACAGCCACAUGGGAUCCAGGCUAUGUCUGCAGCCUACACCAUGGCUCAUGGCAACGCCAGAUCCUUAAUCCACUGAGCAAGACCCGGGAUCGAACCUGAGUCCUCAAGGAUACCAGUUAUAUCCUUAAUCCGCUGAGCCACAACAGGAACUCCAGGAAAAUGUUUUGAAAUAAAGGAAUUGUCUACUUGGGCAGACAAGUUUAAUGCGGUUCUUGAACUUGAGUAAUUUUCUAGUCGGAACCUUGACUGAUUGAUGGAUUAUCUACGAAAUUAUUGAACUCAUUUACUCGGUUUCUGAAGAAUCCAGCGCACAGAUUAAAUUACGUUGCUGUCCAGGGCACAACCAGAAGUGAGAGGUAAAGCCUUCUGCUACGGGUUCCUCGGUCAGUAGUGAUCAGGGAAUGGCAAUUUAGUUUUUCAGUUUCCCCAUGGAUGCGUCCACUGUUGGCCGUUAUAAAUGGUUCUGAAAUGAACAUCUUUUAUACCACACUCUUGUGCAUCUUUAAUGAUCUCCUUAGAAUAAAUGGAUCAAAGCUGAAUGAUCGGA
This 920-nucleotide long non-coding RNA is filed under the name Sus scrofa (pig). RNAcentral describes it as "lncRNA (ENSSSCG00025075581.1, ENSSSCG00035036693.1)". Lineage: Eukaryota; Metazoa; Chordata; Mammalia; Artiodactyla; Suidae. The record is from RNAcentral.